ACUGUUCAGAUUAGCCAUGCAUGUCUAAGUAUAAACCUCUUUAUACUGUGACACUGCAAGCGGCUCAAUAUAUCUUCUAUAAUUUAUUUGAUGGUUCCUUACUACAUGGAUAACUGUAGUAAUUCUAGAGCUAAUACAUGCGUAAAGUCCCGACUCUUGCGGGGAGGGAUGUAUUUAUUAAAUAAAAAACCAAUGCGGGCUCUGUCCGGUUUUGUGGUGAAUCAUACUAACUUAUCGAAUGCCAUAGCUUCAUGCUGGGCAUAGGUCAUUCCCCUUUCUGCCCUAUCAGCUUUCAACGGUACCGUCCUGGACUACCGUGGCGUUAACAGGAAACGGAUAAUUAUGGUUCGAUUCCGGAGAAGGAGCCUGAAAAACGGCUACCACAUCCAACGAAGGCACCAAGCGCGCAAAUUACCCAAUCCUGACACAGGGAGGUAGUGACAAAAAAUAACAAUACCUGGCCUUUUUAUGUCGGGUAAUUGGAAUGAGUACAAUUUAAA
This 500-nucleotide ribosomal RNA is filed under the name uncultured eukaryote. RNAcentral's name for it is "SSU rRNA". It matches the Rfam family "Eukaryotic small subunit ribosomal RNA", at positions 34 to 529 of the family's 1831-position model. The record is from RNAcentral.